Molecule: long non-coding RNA, 809 nt
Filed under: Homo sapiens (human)
Lineage: Eukaryota; Metazoa; Chordata; Mammalia; Primates; Hominidae
Description: HSALNT0160938
Source: RNAcentral
GUAGAGACGGGUUUUGCCAUGUUGGAUAGGCUGGUCGUGAACUCUUGACCUCAAGUGAUCCAUCUGCCUCGGUCUCCCAAAGUGUUGGGAUUACAGGUGUGAGCCACUGCACCUGGCCAAGGAUAGGGCCAAAGGAAUCAUUUGCUAGCAACUGUGAGAAGCUCUGAAUAAGACCGAUCGAGACAGUUAUUAAACUAAUCUGGGAUAAAGGCAAGAACGAGUGUUAAUUCUACCUGGCUUAACACCAACCUAAUUUCUCUGGCAUCUUUCUACAUCAUUGAAAGCAAGUGGGAGCUCCAGAUGACACAAAGCGGAAUGGCAUUUGGUGAUGCAGAGCAGAUGACAGUGGACUUUGCUACCUUAGAGGAGUCAGUGUCUCAUCCCAGCCUUUGCUGGGAGAAACCUUAGCAAAGAGAAGCCCGAAUACCACUGGGCUGCUAAGCUCUCCCUCUCACUGAGGAGUCCAGUGCUAGUGCUAGGCCUUCACUUUCCAGCCUCUUCUCCUCCUGGGUGCUUCAUAUUUGCACAGUCCUUGGAAGAGCUGUGCUUGACUUAAGUUUAGUCAGCUCCUUGAGCUCCUUGAUCUUAUUGCUCCACUGUGUUAGGCUCUAUUUCCCACGUUAACUUUGUGGUACAAGAUGGCUGCUUCAGCUUUAGCCAUUGUGUCUGCAUUCCAGUCAACAGGAAGGACAAAAGAGGAAGAAGGGGACUGUUUUUUUUUUAAAUGACAUCUAGAAAUUGCACACUGUAUAAGCAUUCCAUUUAUUCCCUCCCAUGUUUUGUAAUCCUGUUGUCUUAUGCUAUAAAGC